GCCGAAGUGGUGGAAUUUGGUAGACACGCUAUCUUGAGGGGGUAGUGGCAGCAGCCGUGCCGGUUCAAGUCCGGCCUUCGGCACCA
RNAcentral lists this transfer RNA (86 nucleotides) under Desulfobacterales bacterium. RNAcentral's name for it is "tRNA-Leu". It matches the Rfam family "tRNA". From Rfam's summary of the family: Transfer RNA (tRNA) molecules are approximately 80 nucleotides in length. Their secondary structure includes four short double-helical elements and three loops (D, anti-codon, and T loops). Lineage: Bacteria; Pseudomonadati; Thermodesulfobacteriota; Desulfobacteria; Desulfobacterales. The record is from RNAcentral. RNAcentral also lists the same sequence under 1 other name.